GAUGAACGCUGGCGGCGUGCCUAAUACAUGCAAGUCGAGCGAACAGACGAGGAGCUUGCUCCUCUGACGUUAGCGGCGGACGGGUGAGUAACACGUGGAUAACCUACCUAUAAGACUGGGAUAACUUCGGGAAACCGGAGCUAAUACCGGAUAAUAUAUUGAACCGCAUGGUUCAAUAGUGAAAGACGGUUUUGCUGUCACUUAUAGAUGGGUCCGCGCCGCAUUAGCUAGUUGGUAAGGUAACGGCUUACCAAGGCAACGAUGCGUAGCCGACCUGAAAGGGUGAUCGGCCACACUGGAACUGAGACACGGUCCAGACUCCUACGGGAGGCAGCAGUAGGGAAUCUUCCGCAAUGGGCGAAAGCUUGACGGAGCAACGCCGCGUGAGUGAUGAAGGUCUUCGGAUCGUAAAACUCUGUUAUUAGGGAAGAACAAAUGUGUAAGUAACUAUGCACGUCUUGACGGUACCGAAUCAGAAAGCCACGGCUAACUACGUG
This 497-nucleotide ribosomal RNA is filed under the name uncultured bacterium. RNAcentral's name for it is "partial 16S ribosomal RNA". It matches the Rfam family "Bacterial small subunit ribosomal RNA", at positions 28 to 507 of the family's 1533-position model. The record is from RNAcentral.